GCAGCGGAGCAUGUGGCUUAAUUCGACGCAACGCGAAGAACCUUACCAAGGCUUGACAUCGCCCGGAAAGCCGUAGAGAUACGGCCCCCCUUGUGGUCGGGUGACAGGUGGUGCAUGGCUGUCGUCAGCCCGUGUCGUGAGAUGUUGGGUUAAGUCCCGCAACGAGCGCAACCCUUGUUCUGUGUUGCCAGCAUGCCCUUCGGGGUGAUGGGGACUCACAGGAGACUGCCGGGGUCACUCGGAGGAAGA
Molecule: ribosomal RNA, 249 nt
Filed under: uncultured Actinomycetes bacterium
Lineage: Bacteria; Bacillati; Actinomycetota; Actinomycetes
Description: uncultured actinobacterium partial 16S ribosomal RNA
Rfam family: Bacterial small subunit ribosomal RNA
Source: RNAcentral